This 505-nucleotide ribosomal RNA is filed under the name uncultured bacterium. RNAcentral's name for it is "partial 16S ribosomal RNA". It matches the Rfam family "Bacterial small subunit ribosomal RNA", at positions 29 to 523 of the family's 1533-position model. The record is from RNAcentral.
AGUGAACGCUGGCGGUAGGCCUAACACAUGCAAGUCGAACGGCAGCACAGGAGAGCUUGCUCUCAGGGUGGCGAGUGGCGGACGGGUGUGGAAUACAUCGGAAUCUACUCUGUCGUGGGGGAUAACGUAGGGAAACUACGCUAAUACCGCAUACGACCUACGGGUGAAAGCAGGGGAUCUUCGGACCUUGCGCGAUUGAAUGAGCCGAUGUCGGAUUAGCUAGUUGGGGGGGUAAAGGCCCACCAAGGGGACGAUCCGUAGCUGGUCUGAGAGGAUGAUCAGCCACACUGGAACUGAGACACGGUCCAGACUCCUACGGGAGGCAGCAGUGGGGAAUAUUGGACAAUGGGCGCAAGCCUGAUCCAGCCAUACCGCGUGGGUGAAGAAGGCCUUCGGGUUGUAAAGCCCUUUUGUUGGGAAAGAAAUCCAGCUGGCUAAUACCCGGUUGGGAUGACGGUACCCAAAGAAUAAGCACCGGCUAACAUCGUGCCAGCCGCCGCGGUAA